CCUACGGGUGGCAGCAGUAGGGAAUCUUGCACAAUGGGGGAAACCCUGAAGCAGCAACGCCGCGUGGGUGAUGAAGGUCUUCGGAUCGUAAACCCCUUUUGUUAGAGAAGAAAAUGACGGUGUCUAACUAAUAAGCACCCGCUAACUCCGUGCCAGCAGCCGCGGUAAUACGAAGUGUGCGAGCGUUCCGCGGAAUCACUGGGCGUAAAGAGAUCGUGGGCGGGAUUGCAAGUCAGAUGUGAAAGCCUAUGGCUUAACCAGAGGAGUGCAUUUGAAACUGUGAUUCUAGAGUGUGGGAGAGGAAGGUGGAAUUCUAGGUGUAGGGGUAAAAUGCGUAGAGAUAAAGAGGAAUACUCGUGGCGAAGGCGACCCGCUGGAACAUAACUGACGCUGAUGUGCGAAAGCGUGGGGAGCAAACAGGAUUAGAUACCCUUGUAGUC
This 440-nucleotide ribosomal RNA is filed under the name uncultured bacterium. RNAcentral's name for it is "partial 16S ribosomal RNA". It matches the Rfam family "Bacterial small subunit ribosomal RNA", at positions 338 to 795 of the family's 1533-position model. The record is from RNAcentral.